RNAcentral lists this ribosomal RNA (978 nucleotides) under human gut metagenome. RNAcentral describes it as "bacterial LSU rRNA". It matches the Rfam family "Bacterial large subunit ribosomal RNA", at positions 1950 to 2925 of the family's 2925-position model. The record is from RNAcentral.
CCUAAGGUAGCGAAAUUCCUUGUCGGGUAAGUUCCGACCUGCACGAAUGGCGUAACGACUUCCCCACUGUCUCGACCAGGAGCUCGGCGAAAUUGCAGUACGAGUAAAGAUGCUCGUUAAGCGCAGAAGGACGAAAAGACCCCGGGACCUUUACUAUACCUUGGUAUUGGCGUUAGGCGCGGAUUGUGUAGCAUAGGCGGGAGGCUUCGAAGCGUGGGCGCCAGCUCAUGUGGAGCCGCAAGGUGAAAUACCGCUCUGUUCUCGUUUGACGUCUAACCUCGACAAGUCAUCCUUGUCAGGGACAGUGCCUGGCGGGUAGUUCAACUGGGGCGGUUGCCUCCCAAAGAGUAACGGAGGCGCUCAAAGGUCCGCUCAGCCCGGUUGGCAAUCGGGUGUCGAGUGUAAUCGCACAAGCGGGCUUGACUGCGAGGACGACGGUCCGAGCAGGGACGAAAGUCGGAGAUAGUGAUCCGGUGCCGGCGCACGGGCGCGGCAUCGCUCAACGGAUAAAAGGUACCCCGGGGAUAACAGGCUGAUCAUUCCCAAGAGUCCAUAUCGACGGGAUGGUUUGGCACCUCGAUGUCGGCUCGUCGCAUCCUGGGGCUGGAGCAGGUCCCAAGGGUUCGGCUGUUCGCCGAUUAAAGCGGCACGCGAGCUGGGUUCAGAACGUCGUGAGACAGUUUGGUCUCUAUCCUCUGCGCUCGUUGGAAUCCUGAGGAGGCCUGCCCAUAGUACGAGAGGACCUGGGUGGACGAACCUCUGGUAUGCCGGUUGUCGCGCCAGCGGCACGGCCGGUUGGCUACGUUCGGGAGGGAUAACCGCUGAAAGCAUCUAAGCGGGAAGCCUGCUCCAAGAUUAGGAUUCCGUACGGUCUUGAACCGUUGUAGCCCGCAUGUUGAACACGUGUUUGAUAGGCCGGAGGUGGAAGCCCCGUGAGGGGUGGAGCCGACCGGUACUAACGGGCGACGGCGACACAAC